AAAGUCGUAACAAGGUUUCCGUAGGUGAACCUGCGGAAGGAUCAUUACCGCGCCCGUGGGGGGCUGGCACGCCCGGCCUCCCCACCCGGCCACCCUUGUCUAUCUGUACCUGUUGCUUCGGCGGGCCCGCAGCGAUGCCGCCGGGGGUUCGCCCCUGGCCCGCGCCCGCCGAAGACACCGAACUUCUAGUUAAGAUUGGCGUCUGAGCGUUUAACUAAAAUCGUUAAAACUUUCAACAACGGAUCUCUUGGUUCCG
This 256-nucleotide unclassified non-coding RNA is filed under the name Ascomycota sp. RNAcentral describes it as "partial contains small subunit ribosomal RNA, internal transcribed spacer 1, and 5.8S ribosomal RNA". The stretch from base 1 to 47 matches the Rfam family "Eukaryotic small subunit ribosomal RNA", at positions 1785 to 1831 of the family's 1831-position model. Lineage: Eukaryota; Fungi; Ascomycota. The record is from RNAcentral.